This is a long non-coding RNA of Anolis sagrei ordinatus, 831 nucleotides long. RefSeq lists it as uncharacterized. Lineage: Eukaryota; Metazoa; Chordata; Lepidosauria; Squamata; Anolidae. The record is from RefSeq and is a predicted model, not a curated record.
CCGCUCGGUCCUGAGGGUCGGAGGCAAGCCAAGGCUUCCCCGCUACUCCCACAUGGUCUGAGGAAAAACAUCAAGGUAUGAGAUCCAAAUGUAGGAGUUCCCUUACAAAAAGGAGCUGCCUGUGGCUGUGAUCUCCAAAAAUGCAGGAAAACAUGAAGCAUGUGACAGAACGUCGGAAGACAGCCAGAAGGAGAGCACCCAGUUUGAAGAAACCAUUCAUUGGAGGAAUAGCAUCUUGGAGGAGGAUGACUUUCCCUACUAUUACCAUAUCCUUUUCAGGUGUAACUAGAGAAACUGCAAAUGUUUGUGUCAAUGAGCCAUUACAUGUGUAUCAAUAGCAUUUCAGCACAAGAUGGUUACACAGUCAACAAUGUGACAUGGAUUUUUAUACUGGUUCUUACCAAUUACCUUUACUGCUGCAGUGAACUAUUGCAACACCUGUGAAGACACUGUGCUCCUUUCCACUCAAUCUGUUAAAGAAAGCAGAUAUAACAGUUGCAACUAUUUUGCUGUAAGUACUAAUUUAUGAAUAAUUUAUGAGAUGAUUAUGAUUAUGCAAUAAUUUAUUUUCUAAAUCCAGUGUAAAAACUGCACAUUAUGAUAUCUGAACCUACAGAUACAAACUACGAUAUUAGCAUCAGAAGUUUUAAAAUUGCAGACCUUGAAAGCAUCUUAUAUGCAUCUUGUUUGUCCACUGGUUUCUCCAAAAUCUGGUCUUCUAUUGUCUGAAAUUAAAAUAGAAAUAUUUUGCUAUAUACAUCUCAUUACAGUGGAAUUAGUAUCUAAUUAUAAAUAUAUGUUUAAAACAUUAAAGAACUGUGACCAUAGGGA